GUAUUACUCCCUUCGUUCGGAAAUACUUGUCCUAGAGAUGAAUGUAUCUAGACUUAUUUUAGUUAUAGAUACAUUCAUUAUACUCAUUUUUAGGACAAGUAUUUCCGAACGGAGAGAGUAUAUU
This 124-nucleotide microRNA precursor is filed under the name Hordeum vulgare. RNAcentral's name for it is "microRNA MIR1122". It matches the Rfam family "MIR1120/MIR1122 microRNA precursor family". Lineage: Eukaryota; Viridiplantae; Streptophyta; Magnoliopsida; Poales; Poaceae. The record is from RNAcentral.